ACUCUAGUCUUUCUUUUGAUUUUCCAGCUACUAGAUAUGAUUAAACCUGUAAUAAAUGGAGUGAAGCCUCUAUAUUACAUUCUCCAGGGAGUUUUUUGUGGUAAUUUAUUAAAUAAAAAGAUAAAUUCUGUUGGGCUAAUAUAUUUGUUUUAAUUGAGCUUUGAGGGUGUUGUACAUUUGAAUGACUUUUACCCAGUAGAUACUGAAAUAUGUUUUUUAAUUAUAAGUUUGGUGUACAUAUGUGGGAAACCAGCAAAGUUCCAUAUAGUAUAGUCUUGGCUUAGUGAGAUAAAAGUUAUAGAAGAGGACAUUGGAAAUCUAGCCACACUGUGGCUAAUAGGCUUGGUUCUCUGAAAUAAAAGUAUAAUUCAGGGCCAAUAAUGUGGAAGGCAUUGAGAAGCAUAUCCACCAAGGAGCAACAUUAUGGUCAUUUUGUCUUUGUUAUUACUUACUGCUUUAUUCUGAGAACAAUACAGGCAUUAAAGUUCUAGAAGCUUCACAGAUCAUUAAUCAUCAACAUAAAUUCAGUGAAUUAGAAUUCUUUCUUCAAAAGUAUGUGUCAACUUCAGAUUGCAGAUUUGCCAAAGCUUCAUGUAGAGCCCUUCUCUCUUUUAUCACGAGUAAAAGUUCAGGUUUAAAAUAGAACAACGGAUGACUAAUGCCAUUUCCAGCUGUGACUGAAUUCUCCACUGCCUGAUGCUUUUCAAAUGUAUCUGAAUCAGAAUCGAACACCCACUUUAUGCAUAGCUCCCUAAUCAGGAAGUUAUUCUUCCCAUCAAAGCAACUGGAAAGAAAAAAGAUAAAACAAUGAAGGGAGGAGAAAACACAAAAGUUCAAGAAGAGCAGAAUGUUCCGGCAAGGAGAAAAAGCUGGGAAAAGUCACCAAUGAAUGCCAGGGUUCACCACUAUCUUAGGAAUAUCAUGAAUAAAGCGUUAGAUUGGGUGUGCCCUAACUGAUGGUCACAAGCAUGAUACUAAUUAUCAGGGUGAACAAAGCAGGGGAGUAAGAGCAUCAGUAACUGUGAAACUCUAGGAGUUUGUCUUCAUUCUUUCAGUGAUAGACAGGGUCUCACACUGUCACUUAGGCUGGAGCACAGUGUGACAACAGCUGACUGCAGCCUCAAACUCCUGGUCUUAAGUGAUUCUUCCCACCUCGGCCUCCUGAGUAGCUGGAAUUACAGGCAUGAGCCACGGCAUCCAGCCAUAAACUCUUUUGUCACCAUUUUUCUAGAGUCAAUAUCUAGCAUUUGUAUUUCGUACAUCAUACACUUGAGUUAGUAUCUGUGGAAAGGAUAAAUACAUAAGGAAAAGAGAUGCAGGAAGCUGCAGAGACACUGGCCAUUUAUCUGAGAAGUGCCCAAUGAGGCAUCACCGGAUAAGCACACGUCGGGUCGUUCUCCUGCUUCAGUAAGGUCUGUGGCGUUGACAUUAUCAAUGCUAUGGAUGCCUCAAGGCUCUCAUAAAAAUACAUGGCUUCAGCAAUACGCAUGCAGUUAUCUCAGUUUAAAGGAAAUGGGUUCUGCUCCCUGCUUAAUAAGAAAUCCUGCUUACUUCUCCAGCUUUUGAAGCACAGAUUAUUUUUCUUCUCUUCAUCAUAUAAAAAUGGAAAUUAUCAAAACAAAACAUCAUCAAAACAAAACAUCAUCAAAAACAGGUUGCUCUCUGAGUAAAGGUUUUAUGUUUGUUUGGGAUAGAAUCUCAUUCUGUCACCCAGGCCAGAGAGCACUGACAUUAUCAUGGCUCACUGCAACCUCAAACUCCCAAGCUCAAGCGAUCCUCCCACCUCAGCCUCCCAAGUAGCUGGGACCACAGAUUCACCUGUUUGCUUCCUAAGACAGAAAAUAAAUAGGAGGAAAAGGAUCAGAGUCAAAAUUCUGAUAGGCCGCUCCAUUGGGAAGUCAAGACGGUAUCUUAAGUGCUGUAUUCCACUCGAUGCUCUAUUUUCCUGCUUGCUGCAGUAACUGUGGUUUCAUACAGAGUAUUAGAACUACCAGGGGCAAACCAGAGACAACAACAUCUACCUCAGAGUAAUAUUUUUGAGAUUAAAUG
RNAcentral lists this long non-coding RNA (2049 nucleotides) under Homo sapiens (human). RNAcentral describes it as "PREDICTED lncRNA (TCONS_00154215)". Lineage: Eukaryota; Metazoa; Chordata; Mammalia; Primates; Hominidae. The record is from RNAcentral.